Molecule: transfer RNA, 66 nt
Filed under: Azana sp. WQY005
Lineage: Eukaryota; Metazoa; Arthropoda; Insecta; Diptera; Mycetophilidae
Description: tRNA-Thr
Rfam family: tRNA
About the family: Transfer RNA (tRNA) molecules are approximately 80 nucleotides in length. Their secondary structure includes four short double-helical elements and three loops (D, anti-codon, and T loops).
Source: RNAcentral
GUUUUAAUAAUUUAACAAAAAUAUUGGUCUUGUAAAUCAAAAAUAAGAAUCUAUUCUUUUAAAACU